UUUUUUUUUUUUUCUUUCUUCCAUAGGCUCUCAAAAUAAAAGAAGCUGAAUUUAAUUUAAAGCCAAUCUUAUUAAAGAUUAUACUCUGGUCUUAACACUGGGCUCCCCAGAUACUCUGUAAUUAGCAUUCUUUAAGUACCCACAGUAGAACUGGGCAUCGGGCUGUUAAUUUAAUGAUUUAUUGAUUAAUGGUUUUUAUAUUCUGAUGAGAGGGACCAUUUUCUGAACUGCUGUUGGUCAGCAUAAUUCUGCAAAAAGAUAAGAAUAUUCCUUUGGUGCUACUUCUGUUUGUUCCUUAACCCCUGUGUUUCACUGCCCAACAGCGCUCAGUCCGCCACCUUUUGGCAUGUGUAGCUUUUGGGUUAUAGAACUUGGGUUUGGCCCUAUGAAAAGGUGAAUUCUAACAGAACACUGAAUUGAGAGCAAAAUGUAAGUGCUUUUGUGUGGUUUUUAUGCUUUUAUGAAAGGAAGAAGACAGAUAAAAAUGAUGGGAAGUCCUGUAGAGGUACAAAACUCCAAAUGAUCUAACUAUUAAAAAAAUAUGCUUUUUGUUCCCAAUAUGUGAUUAUUUUUCUUUUCCUCCUGGCAUUUAUGAAGUGUGCUGUAGUCUCUUUGUAUAGGCUUGUAGAUGAGGAACAAGGAAUUGCCAUUGACCUAAAGCAAACUGUGGUGGUGUGGAGUGUAAUCUGACAACUACUUACCAUACACACUGAACUUAUUUCUCCAAGUAGUUCACUGCAGUUUAUGACUGAAAACACGGAAGUCAGAGUGGUUUGGUAGAUGUUGGAUUGCCAUGAGCUAUCUUCAUAAUUUUAGAGGUCUCUGCUGUUAGUAUAGAAUCAUAGAAUGGCUUCGGUUGGAGCCAGUGUAAAGCUGAGCUUAGGUAUCUGGUGGCAGAGCCCUUCCUGCUUGGGCAUUUGUACCAUUCAACACAUGAAAACAGCAUAUUAACAGUUUAAAUUGUUAUGUUUCACUUCCAACUCAAAUGACUUAGUCCCAAAGCAUAGCGUGGUCUCGGUGAUGCAGUGUCACAUCUUUCCUGCGUAUCUUUUCAGUGGCGUGAGUACUUCCUGGUGCAGUUUGGUAAAUGGCCAAAAUGCCUCCAUAUCCUUUUCUCUGCAAUGCACGUUAUGCUCAUAAGCCACCGGGACCAUGAACACAAAUGAAUGUGUGUAACUGGUCCUUUUUGCUAAACCUCGUCAAACGUGGUGCUAGAUUCAAGGCGUGGUGUGCCCUGAUUACACCCAAUUGCUCUCUCUUUGUCUGAUUACUAUAAAACUAAGCUGGGAAUUUUUUGCUUCAAAAAGAAAUGAAGCUUCUUUCACUGUGCUCCUCAGAAAGCAUAGUUGGAUGUGGGUUUUUUUUAUAGCAUUAACUUUGAUUUUUUUCAUUAAUAGCAGUUUUGUUUGUUGCAGAAUUUAAUCGUAUUGUUAAAUGCAGCAGUCCAUUCUUCGCUAGGUUUUCCUCCUGCUUUCUCCUUUCUCCUUCCCCUUGCCGAGCAGCUGUUUUGUGGCAGGUAGGAGCGUUCCAGGCCGGUUGUUGGGCACAAGGCAUGGCGUUGCCCUGGCUGCUGCCCGGCAGCAGGAGCUGCAGGUUGCUGCCCGCCCGGUGCAGGCAGGCAGGCAGCAGCGCAGCGCUCCAGCACUAUUAAUAUGCACAGCGUGGCGGCUUUCGGGGAAGGUUAUUAGGAUGCGGGUUCGUAUCCUCCAGUGAAUGAAAUGAUGUGUGAUUAUGAAGUCAUCAGGCAUGGACCAGUAAGGCUCGGGAGAACCCCCCCAGGUCCUCGGGGUGCCAUUGAUUGGUGACCAUGUGUUUGUGCCCGAUAGACUGUGAAAUGGUGUGUUGCUCCACGGCUGUGCUGCACCUGCGCCCCACCGAGGCGAUGCUGGCAGGAGCUGGAGCAGGCGGUUGUAAAGGACAGCCGAGCCUUUGCCUUUAGAACAAAGUGGAGCUGCUGCAAGUCCUCAUGUUUCUUUCAUUUCUACUAAAAGACCAGAUAGGUCGUCCUGUGCUUCUGAGCGGGGAACAAACAAGCAAGCAAACAACAUAAAAAACCACUGCAAAAAAACCUACAAAAGAAUACAAAAAAAGCUCAGGGGGCACCAGCCCCCCAAACCUGCACUGCUGCACACAGUUCUUACCGCUGUGCACAAGCACUGCAGUACUGUAAUUAGAUUACCAAAGUAGCAGUGCAUGUGGAAGAUCUUAUUUAACCUCAGAAAAGUAGUAGUUUAUUUAUUGAAAACUACUGAUGUUGCACUUUAAAUGCCAAGAAAUUAUUUUAGUUCCUUAAAAAAAAAAAUUAAAAAAAUUCUAUAGUUACAUUGGGCGGUCUUGUUUGAUAUUUCUUAAUCUCACUCCUUUUUCAUAAUUGAUCUAUUCAUUCCACUUAAUGACUAAUUACAUAUCAGAGCACAUCAUCAGCAGCAUUCAUCAUUGUAGAAUGUAAUAAUCAAUGACAUUUCAACAAAGGAAAAAAUAAAUAUGCAAAUAAGGACUCAUUAACAUUUGCAUGAGCUGUUUGAAUAAUCACGUUGCUGACAAGGCUGUAAUUAACAGAAAUUGAUGCUGAGUUCAGUAUUUGAUAGUGUGUUUUCUCAGCGUUUUAUUGUUGUCACUGCGGGGGCUGGAAUGAAGUUCUGCUCUGCUUGUACCUUGACUUGGGCUUGAUGUGAUGGGCUGUGCCAGGUAGCAGAGGCUUCUGGGAGUCCCCAGUUCAGCUCUGACCUACGCUUAAUGCUGAGAGAGAGAGAUUUCAGCUAAAUGGCUGUAUUGUUAGUGAAGGAUUGUUGAAUCUCCGGUAAUUAUACAGCAGCUGAAGGAAGAUCUUUUCUCCUAAGUCAGGAAAACUAAAAAUGAUUUAAAAAAAAAAACACAACCCAACCCACUAAAACUCUUUUACAUGAGUCAGGCACUUAGAAACUGUAGGAUUUCUUACUUGUUCUGAAAACCAGGCAUUGAGGUAGGGUUAUGUUUUCUUGUUUCGUUUGUCACUCUUGUAUAGUGUAUCAGUGUUGGGAGACUUGAGCUUUAUUGUAAUUGAAAAUCACUUGCUAAGGAAAAUGUUGUGUAAUUAUGAAACGUUCGGGCUCUCCCCCCGCCCCCUCUGAUUAUUGCAACUUUAUUCCCCCUUCCCUCUUUUUCCUGAAGCUUCCUCUUUUUGUCAUGGAUAUCAGCUGAAAUGCACAAAACACAAUAAAGCUGUUUAUGUCA
Coturnix japonica (Japanese quail) is the source of this 3213-nucleotide non-coding RNA. Lineage: Eukaryota; Metazoa; Chordata; Aves; Galliformes; Phasianidae. The record is from RefSeq and is a predicted model, not a curated record.